This 87-nucleotide transfer RNA is filed under the name bacterium. Its description in RNAcentral is "tRNA-Ser". It matches the Rfam family "tRNA". From Rfam's summary of the family: Transfer RNA (tRNA) molecules are approximately 80 nucleotides in length. The record is from RNAcentral.
GGAGAGGUGGCAGAGUGGUUGAACGCGGCGGUUUUGAAAACCGUUAUACGUGAAAGCGUAUCGGGGGUUCGAAUCCCCCCCUCUCCG